Molecule: non-coding RNA, 105 nt
Organism: Arthrobotrys megalospora
Lineage: Eukaryota; Fungi; Ascomycota; Orbiliomycetes; Orbiliales; Orbiliaceae
Source: the annotation of a GenBank genome assembly
GGUUGAAUAGUGUAGUUGGUUAUCACAUCGGAUUUUGAAGCGAGUUCCUUGGCUGGAGCUCCUCGAAACUUUCCGAUAACUUGGGUUCGAAUCCCAGUUCGACCU